ACGAGUUAGGGUCUUCUCGGCCCGACCUCCCAACCCUAUGUUUACUGAACCUAUGUUGCUUCGGCGGGCCCGUCUCACGACCGCCGGGGGACCGUAAGACGUCCUCUGGCCCGUGUCCGCCGGUGGCCAAACUUUAACAAAUUCUGAUCAAAAUGUGUCAAUGUCUGAGUACAAUUUUUAAUUAAAGCA
RNAcentral lists this unclassified non-coding RNA (189 nucleotides) under uncultured Herpotrichiellaceae. RNAcentral describes it as "sequence contains ITS1". The record is from RNAcentral. Lineage: Eukaryota; Fungi; Ascomycota; Eurotiomycetes; Chaetothyriales; Herpotrichiellaceae.